This is a long non-coding RNA of Nilaparvata lugens (brown planthopper), 1477 nucleotides long. RefSeq lists it as uncharacterized. The transcript is spliced from 2 exons. The record is from RefSeq and is a predicted model, not a curated record. Lineage: Eukaryota; Metazoa; Arthropoda; Insecta; Hemiptera; Delphacidae.
ACACACAUACACGUAGUAUAAGUAAUAUAGGUACACAUAUAAGUAGUAUACUCUUUAUACACAUAUAAAGUAGUCUGAUCGUAGAUGCAAAUAUUUUGCCGCCAAUCGUCAUUAUGUUAAUCCCCUAAAUUAUUCUCGUCUAAGAAUGAGGCUUACAGUUCAAUGAGCAAGGAAAGUUGUGUGAGUGUACCAGAUUUUUUAAUAAUGUAGAAAUAUGAUCAAUCAGAAAAAUAUUCAAUCUCAAUUAUAAUUUUUUUGAUUUAAUUAUUGAAGAAAUAUUUUCUUGGCAAAUAAAAUAUAAUUGAUUAUUUUAAACACGAACAGUUAAAAUAUUACAACAGAUAUACCAGUAUCAGCUAUCUAUCCUCUAUGGAAGGCAGUGGCAUUGCAGAGAAUCGGCAACGCCGUACUCCUAUCUUUCUUCACCGCCAUUAUAACGUGGACCUCACUAUAGACCGUUUGUGGGUUUGUUCUACGAUGAAUUUCGAUUGCUUUUAUCAAUGUACUUCAAAUUCCCAACACAAUGGACUAUUUUUAUCUAGAAAACAGUCAUCACCUCGCCUUGUGAUUCAAAAUAUCAAUGUGUAUAACAAAAUAUUAUAGAUGUGCACUUGAGAAAAAUUUCUGUACUUGUUGUUAAAAGCAAUUCCCUUUUAACCAUGCAACAUCUGUAACAAAUAAUAACCCCUAUGUGGUGGCAAAAUUUCAUCUGCCUUCAUAUUUAUAGAAUUUCUCAUUAAAAUUUGUAUUACCUUAUGUUUUCAGAUUCUAUAAAAAAAUCUUGUGGGUCGACUGUGGGCAUUGAGACCCAAAUUGAAGACGCUAUUAAGGAUUGGCUAAAAUAUGCGACAGUCAGAGUAUUUUCAGUGGAGAAAAAAAACAAUCUAAUUUUGUUGGUACAUUUUAAGAUAGUCAAUGAGAGUCACAGCGAGCAGAUGGGUGGAAAAAGUUAAAACCCAAUUCUGUUCCAGCCAUAUUUAAUAUGCCCAACCCACCAAAAAUGUUGUCUACGCCAACACGACAAUCUCACUACAAGGUAAUUAUUGAUAGAUAUUUCACCCAUUAGAAUUAUGAAUGGAAAUCUAACAUUGUAUUGCAAUGCAAUAGCAAACUUAUCAUUAUUUCAAGUAAAUUUUAAAAUAAUUAUUAAUCUCUUUGAGGUUGAUGGCCAUUACACAUAUAAAAAAUUAUUCGAUUUUAAAUAAAAUAGGCUAUCUCAAAGUAAACGUAGUUAAUUGUAUAAUCCAUGUAAAUUCAGUAUUCAUUUGUAAUUCUUCAUUUAUUCAUGUCAAAAAAUGAGAUUAGAGUAAUAGCAGCCAACUGACUAUUUCUAGGUGUUAGGAAUAGCUUAGGUUUGUUAAGAGUGUCACACAGCAUAGAGUCUCGUCUUUCCAUGCUCUUUUCAACUAUCAGAGACUACUAGGUGUUAUUUUAAGUUGUGUACAUAGAAUUGAGAAUACCCUUUUUCCUGAUUUAU